Non-coding RNA from Cricetulus griseus (Chinese hamster), 46 nucleotides. NCBI's taxonomy places the organism in Eukaryota, Metazoa, Chordata, Mammalia, Rodentia, Cricetidae. The record is from Rfam.
AAAAAGGCUCCCUUGGGGGCCAUUAAAUAUACACUGAAAGAUACAG